This 1897-nucleotide unclassified non-coding RNA is filed under the name Rhipicephalus microplus (southern cattle tick). RNAcentral describes it as "rING finger protein 151-like, transcript variant X1". Lineage: Eukaryota; Metazoa; Arthropoda; Arachnida; Ixodida; Ixodidae. The record is from RNAcentral.
GGGCAAGUCCAGACACACACAGCAGCCGCUCGACAAAGGUCGCCAGAUAAAGACACUCGCGCCACCUGGAUACAGCGCUAGGGGUGGUGUCUGUGCAGUAGACAUGCCUCCUGAGAUUUACUCUCACGCUGUUUUUGGAUUCUCUGAACACCUUGACUGGAGCACGCUGGACUUCGUCCAACCAAUCGAUGACAUCAGGGUGUGCAGCGCAUGCAGAGUUGUUGCCAGGAAGACGGCCUUCCUAGCGUGUCGCCAUGUCCUAUGCGAGCCUUGCUAUGAGCAGUGGAAGUCUAGGGGCAGCCCCGUUUGCUUCCUCGAUGGCGACCUGUGUCCAGAAAACGAAGUCCAUUGGAUGGAAUUUCCGGUGGAGAAAAUGCAGAAGAAUCAGGUCAGCUGCUGGAACAGGAAGAAUGGUUGCGAGAUCAUCACUGAUGUCUCAAGCAUAGCUGGAGCACUUCCACAGAGACUGCGCCUACCACUCCACGUGCUGUCAUAAGUGUACCUCGACUGGUGCUCAGGAAAGACAUAAUAGCACACCUUGAAUCACAAUGUGUGGACUACGUCUUGAGGAUAAGCUUAGUGACGUCACCGAGCGAGGGGCUGUCGAAGGAGCUAAACGACAUUCGGGAAGGUGUCCGUGGCAUGGAAAUGGCAUUUCGAAGCGCCUCCGACAACGAUGUCUUGGCGGUGACAAGUUUUCGAGAAAUUACAGAAACUGGCGUGGAAAAUGUCGACCACCUUUGCAAGAUAUCGGCUGAAGUUUCUCAGUUUUCGCAGGUGACGAAGCAGACGUUGAGUGAAGUCGAACGAAGCAGUGAAGAUUACGUGAGUGAAAUUGAAGAUAUGAAGACAUGCAAAGACGCUUUGUGCGCGGAGUUGGAGGAGAUCCAGAGAGCCGCCGAAAUGUUGGGGGCUUGCGAAAGCAUAAAUCAACAGGAAAUAAGGGAGCGAGAAGAAUGGACCGAAACAUUGCAAGUGAUCCAUAAGGAAAUUCAAAGCAUAUCAAACAUACUGGGAGAAGGUAUCUGUGAGUUGUUCCCUGAAGUAGGCGUACCCAAAAGUGUAGCCGUCGAUGGUUUGUUUGAGGUUCGAAGCUACUACGCCCUACUCUCACUGGUCGCGUAUACAUACUCGCAAUUUACUGCUACUUGAGGCGACGACCCGCGUUUUUGUUAAUGCAAAGUAUGUUCCUGUGAAAAUUGUGUGGUGUCUGUGUGAGUGGGGAUCCUUAGAGCCGGAUUAAAGGCGACAGUCUUAUUUCAGCUCGAACCUCUAUUUGUUUUGAUUAUGGGUACUCUUUAUAUUUAACACUACGCAACGACUUAAUACCCGACGAAGGGUUCACGGUAUCUGUUGACUUUUGGAGGAGGUAAUGCCCCCAACCCCUAAAAGCGUGAAGUUGUUGUUUAUGAACAGAAAGAAAGGUGCCACGCCGUACGAGAUUCAUCUCAAAGAAGAUGCGAGUACCUUUCGUUAGACAGAUUUGUGUCAGAUCCUUUAACUCUAAGUGAUCUUAAGCGCAAUGCAAUCAUUCAGGGCGACGUGCUUAAAUGUGCUUCCCAUUUUUGUAUUAACACUACGACGUUACUGUGCCCAUUGCUUCUAUUGCGCUCAUGAAUAUCUGUCACGAAACUACUAAGACUGAUGCAACUGAAUGUUGUGACAGCUGAAGCUUCUCUGUAAUAACAAACAGCCUAGAACUAAGUACCUGGUUCCUUUGUUUUGAAAUAUGCAGUUCAACUGCCGAUUAUUUUAUGAAAGAGCAUACUGUUGUUACUCGUCGAGGGCAUGCGACAUGGUCGCCUGCAAUAAAGCUUGUUCCCAAGUUUGUCCGUAGACUGAUGGCUUUAAUUAUUGAUGUCGCAAGAAAUAAAGUAUUCUCAAACUUGUCUGUUUA